GACGAACGCUGGCGGCGUGCUUAACACAUGCAAGUCGAACGGAAAGGCCCUGCUUUUGUGGGGUGCUCGAGUGGCGAACGGGUGAGUAACACGUGAGUAACCUGCCCUUGACUUUGGGAUAACUUCAGGAAACUGGGGCUAAUACCGGAUAGGAGCUCCUGCUGCAUGGUGGGGGUUGGAAAGUUUCGGCGGUUGGGGAUGGACUCGCGGCUUAUCAGCUUGUUGGUGGGGUAGUGGCUUACCAAGGCUUUGACGGGUAGCCGGCCUGAGAGGGUGACCGGCCACAAUGGGCCUGAGAUACGGACCAGACGCCUACGGGAGGCAGCAGUGGGGAGUAUUGCACAAUGGGCGGAAGCCUGAUGCAGCAACGCCGCGUGCGGGAUGACGGCCUUCGGGUUGUAAACCGCUUUCGCCUGUGACGAAGCGUGAGUGACGGUAAUGGGUAAAGAAGCACCGGCUAACUACGUG
RNAcentral lists this ribosomal RNA (468 nucleotides) under uncultured bacterium. RNAcentral describes it as "partial 16S ribosomal RNA". It matches the Rfam family "Bacterial small subunit ribosomal RNA", at positions 28 to 507 of the family's 1533-position model. The record is from RNAcentral.